RNAcentral lists this ribosomal RNA (395 nucleotides) under uncultured bacterium. RNAcentral describes it as "partial 16S ribosomal RNA". It matches the Rfam family "Bacterial small subunit ribosomal RNA", at positions 523 to 918 of the family's 1533-position model. The record is from RNAcentral.
AUACGUAGGGUGCAAGCGUUAAUCGGAAUUACUGGGCGUAAAGCGUGCGCAGGCGGUUUUGUAAGACAGUGGUGAAAUCCCCGGGCUCAACCUGGGAACUGCCAUUGUGACUGCAAGGCUGGAGUGCGGCAGAGGGGGAUGGAAUUCCGCGUGUAGCAGUGAAAUGCGUAGACAUGCGGAGGAACACCGAUGGCGAAGGCAAUACCCGGGGCCUGCAUUGAAGCUCAUGCUCUAAAGCGUGGGGAGCAUACAGGUUUAGAUACCCUGGUAGUCAGCGCCCUAAACGAUUUCAACUGGUUGUUGGGGAUUUAUUUUCCCCGUACCUAACCCAAAGCGUGAAGUUGACCGCCUGGGGAGUACGGCCGUAAGGUGAAAGCUGAAAUUAAUUGAUGGGG